AGAAGAAAGAUUGUGACUAAUAAUUGCAAUUCAUGACGGUAUCAACAGAAGAAGCACCGGCUAACUACGUGCCAGCAGCCGCGGUAAUACGUAGGGUGCGAGCGUUAAUCGGAAUUACUGGGCGUAAAGGGUGCGCAGGCGGUUCUGUAAGUCAGAUGUGAAAUCCCCGGGCUUAACCUGGGAACUGCGUUUGAAACUACAGAGCUAGAGUGUGGCAGAGGGGGGUGGAAUUCCAUGUGUAGCAGUGAAAUGCGUAGAGAUAUGGAAGAACAUCGAUGGCGAAGGCAGCCCCCUGGGUCAACACUGACGCUCAUGCACGAAAGCGUGGGGAGCAAACAGGAUUAGAUACCCUGGUAGUCCACGCCCUAAACUAUGUCAACUAGUUGUCGGGCCUUAUUAGGUUUGGUAACGUAGCUAACGCGUGAAGUUGACCGCCUGGGGAGUACGGUCGCAAGAUUAAAAACUCAAAGGAAUUGACGGGGACCCGCACAAGCGGUGGAUUAUGUGGAUUAAUUCGAUGC
This 521-nucleotide ribosomal RNA is filed under the name uncultured bacterium. RNAcentral's name for it is "bacterial SSU rRNA". It matches the Rfam family "Bacterial small subunit ribosomal RNA", at positions 443 to 957 of the family's 1533-position model. The record is from RNAcentral.